RNAcentral lists this long non-coding RNA (249 nucleotides) under Mytilus galloprovincialis (Mediterranean mussel). Lineage: Eukaryota; Metazoa; Mollusca; Bivalvia; Mytilida; Mytilidae. The record is from RNAcentral.
AAGUAAACCAACAUCAAAAUAGUCAACAAAAGAAAAACAACUUACCAAAACCAAGAUGGCGGCCUACAUAUGGCGUCCUCUACUACCUCUUCCUGGCCCAUGGCAUCAAAAUAUGAUAAAGCUCACCAAUCGCCUUCGGGCAUCGAGCCGACCGUGCGAGGGCUGUUUAGCCAGUCAAGGUCGUUAAACACUUCCAUAUAUAUAAUCUAUGACCCUCUCACCCAAAGCAAGAACGCUACCACGAGACCA